This 93-nucleotide ribosomal RNA is filed under the name Desulfuromonas sp. The record is from RNAcentral. Lineage: Bacteria; Pseudomonadati; Thermodesulfobacteriota; Desulfuromonadia; Desulfuromonadales; Desulfuromonadaceae.
ACACCUGUUCCCAUCCCGAACACAGAAGUUAAGCCCUACUGCGCCGAUGAUACUGCAUGGGAAACUAUGUGGGAAAGUAGGUCGCCGCCGGAA